RNAcentral lists this ribosomal RNA (253 nucleotides) under uncultured bacterium. RNAcentral describes it as "partial 16S ribosomal RNA". It matches the Rfam family "Bacterial small subunit ribosomal RNA", at positions 524 to 776 of the family's 1533-position model. The record is from RNAcentral.
UACGUAGGGUGCGAGCGUUAAUCGGAAUUACUGGGCGUAAAGCGUGCGCAGGCGGUCUGCUAAGACAGGUGUGAAAUCCCUGGGCUCAACCUAGGAAUUGCGCUUGUGACUGGCAGGCUAGAGUACGGUAGAGGGGGGUGGAAUUCCUGGUGUAGCAGUGAAAUGCGUAGAGAUCAGGAGGAACACCGGUGGCGAACGAAGCCCCCUGGGCCUGUACUGACUCUCAGGCACGAAAGCGUGGGGAGCAAACAGG